Molecule: ribosomal RNA, 497 nt
Filed under: uncultured bacterium
Lineage: Bacteria
Description: partial 16S ribosomal RNA
Rfam family: Bacterial small subunit ribosomal RNA
Source: RNAcentral
GAUGAACGCUGGCGGCGUGCCUAAUACAUGCAAGUCGAGCGAACGGACGCGAAGCUUGCUUUUCUGAUGUUAGCGGCGGACGGGUGAGUAACACGUGGAUAACCUACCUAUAAGACUGGGAUAACUUCGGAAAACCGGAGCUAAUACCGGAUAAUAUUUUGAACCGCAUGGUUCAAAAGUGAAAGACGGUCUUGCUGUCACUUAUAGAUGGAUCCGCGCUGCAUUAGCUAGUUGGUAAGGUAACGGCUUACCAAGGCAACGAUGCAUAGCCGACCUGAUAGGGUGAUCGGCGACACUGGAAGUGAGACACGGUCCUGACGCCUACGGGACGCAGCAGUAGGGAAUCUUACGCAAUGGGCGAAAGCCUGACGGAGCAACGCCGCGUGAGUGAUGAAGGUCUUCGGAUCGUAAAACUCUGUUAUGAGGGAAGAACAUCUGUGUAAGUAACUGUGCACAGCUUGACGGUACCUAAUCAGAAAGCCACGGCUAACUACGUG